UACGUAGGGUGCGAGCGUUAAUCGGAAUUACUGGGCGUAAAGUGUGCGCAGGCGGCCGAGCAAGUCGAGUGUGAAAGCCCCGAGCUUAACUUGGGAACUGCGCUCGAAACUACUUGGCUAGAGUGUGGCAGAGGGAGGUGGAAUUCCACGUGUAGCGGUGAAAUGCGUAGAGAUGUGGAGGAACACCGAUGGCGAAGGCAGCCUCCUGGGCCAACACUGACACUCAGGUGCGACAGCGUGGGGAGCAAACAGG
RNAcentral lists this ribosomal RNA (253 nucleotides) under uncultured bacterium. RNAcentral describes it as "partial 16S ribosomal RNA". It matches the Rfam family "Bacterial small subunit ribosomal RNA", at positions 524 to 776 of the family's 1533-position model. The record is from RNAcentral.